This 780-nucleotide ribosomal RNA is filed under the name uncultured Neocallimastigales. RNAcentral's name for it is "partial large subunit ribosomal RNA". It matches the Rfam family "Eukaryotic large subunit ribosomal RNA", at positions 23 to 638 of the family's 3401-position model. The record is from RNAcentral. Lineage: Eukaryota; Fungi; Neocallimastigomycota; Neocallimastigomycetes; Neocallimastigales.
GAGACUCUGUGCGCGUGCAUAUCAAUAAGCGGAGGAAAAGAAACUAACAAGGAUUCCCCUAGUAACGGCGAGUGAAGCGGGAAGAGCUCAAAUUUGAAAUCUUAAAGGGUUUCCCUUUACGAAUUGUAGUUUAAAGAAGUGUUUUCUGUUGGAGUUUUGGUAAAAGUUCUUUGGAAUAGGACAUCAUAGAGGGUGAGAAUCCCGUAUUUGACCAUUAUUUCCAGCUGUGUGAUACACUUUCAAAGAGUCGGAUUGUUUGGGAAUGCAGUCCAAAAUGGGUGGUAAAUUUCAUCUAAAGCUAAAUAUUGGCGAGAGACCGAUAGCGAACAAGUACCGUGAGGGAAAGAUGAGAAGAACUUUGAAAAGAGAGUUAAACAGUACGUGAAAUUGUCAAAAGGGAAGCGUUUGACACCAGUGUUGUUUAGUUGAAAAUCAAUUCAAUAAUUUUUGAUUUUAAGUAGUAUUGACUUCAUCAGCUUGCUGCUUUCUUUUCGGAAAUUAUUGAAUGCACUUUUCAGUUAACAAGUCAACAUCAAUUUCUUUUGUUGUAAAAGGGUAAGAGGAAGGUGGCUUACGCUUCGGCGUCAAGUGUUUAUAGCCUUUUAUCCUCUGCAAUCGGAGAGAUUGAGGACCUGCAGCGUAGACUCCUUCGGGGGUUAGAUACACUUGGUGCUAAGCUAUAGCCUUGUAUAGACAACUUGUUGACUAUGCUCAGUCAUGUAGCUUACUCGCUUGUGCUAUUUUACCUACGCUUAGGAUGUUGACAGCAGUAUAGACUGU